Molecule: ribosomal RNA, 468 nt
Filed under: uncultured bacterium
Lineage: Bacteria
Description: partial 16S ribosomal RNA
Rfam family: Bacterial small subunit ribosomal RNA
Source: RNAcentral
GACGAACGCUGGCGGCGUGCUUAACACAUGCCAGUCGAACGGAAAGGCCCUGCUUUUGUGGGGUGCUCGAGUGGCGAACGGGUGAGUAACACGUGAGUAACCUGCCCUUGACUUUGGGAUAACUUCAGGAAACUGGGGCUAAUACCGGAUAGGAGCUCCUGCUGCAUGGUGGGGGUUGGAAAGUUUCGGCGGUUGGGGAUGGACUCGCGGCUUAUCAGCUUGUUGGUGGGGUAGUGGCUUACCAAGGCUUUGACGGGUAGCCGGCCUGAGAGGGUGACCGGCCACAUUGGGACUGAGAUACGGCCCAGACUCCUACGGGAGGCAGCAGUGGGGAAUAUUGCACAAUGGGCGGAAGCCUGAUGCAGCAACGCCGCGUGCGGGAUGACGGCCGUCGGGUUGUAAACCGCUUUCGCCUGUGACGAAGCGUGAGUGACGGUAAUGGGUAAAGAAGCACCGGCUAACUACGUG